AGUGAACGCUGGCGGUAGGCCUAACACAUGCAAGUCGAACGGCAGCACAGUAAGAGCUUGCUCUUACGGGUGGCGAGUGGCGGACGGGUGAGGAAUACAUCGGAAUCUACUUUUUCGUGGGGGAUAAUGUAGGGAAACUUACGCUAAUACCGCAUACGACCUACGGGUGAAAGCAGGGGAUCUUCGGACCUUGCGCGAUUGAAUGAGCCGAUGUCGGAUUAGCUAGUUGGCGGGGUAAAGGCCCACCAAGGCGACGAUCCGUAGCUGGUCUGAGAGGAUGAUCAGCCACACUGGAACUGAGACACGGUCCAGACUCCUACGGGAGGCGGCAGUGGGGAAUAUUGGACAAUGGGCGCAAGCCUGAUCCAGCCAUACCGCGUGGGUGAAGAAGGCCUUCGGGUUGUAAAGCCCUUUUGUUGGGAAAGAAAAGCAGCAGGUUAAUACCCCGCUGUUCUGACGGUACCCAAAGAAUAAGCACCGGCUAACUUCGUA
RNAcentral lists this ribosomal RNA (492 nucleotides) under uncultured bacterium. RNAcentral describes it as "partial 16S ribosomal RNA". It matches the Rfam family "Bacterial small subunit ribosomal RNA", at positions 29 to 507 of the family's 1533-position model. The record is from RNAcentral.